Small nucleolar RNA from Triplophysa rosa, 138 nucleotides. RefSeq annotates it as small nucleolar RNA SNORD10. Lineage: Eukaryota; Metazoa; Chordata; Actinopteri; Cypriniformes; Nemacheilidae. The transcript has a single exon. The record is from RefSeq and is a predicted model, not a curated record.
GUUUUGUGAUGAUUCCCAUGCGUGUCAACUGAUCCUAGACCCCCUGCAGUUCUCAAUGUCUGUUUGGCGUUUUGCUUUGCAGUACAUUUGAGUCUGUAAGACUUCAGGAAUAUGAUCAUGACUGUCAAAUCUGAAAAC